RNAcentral lists this ribosomal RNA (262 nucleotides) under uncultured prokaryote. RNAcentral describes it as "partial 16S ribosomal RNA". It matches the Rfam family "Bacterial small subunit ribosomal RNA", at positions 524 to 784 of the family's 1533-position model. The record is from RNAcentral.
UACGUAGGGUGCGAGCGUUGUCCGGAAUUACUGGGCGUAAAGAGCUCGUAGGUGGUUUGUCGCGUCGUCUGUGAAAUUCCGGGGCUUAACCUCGGGCGUGCAGGCGAUACGGGCAAUACUUGAGUGCUGUAGGGGAGACUGGAAUUCCUGGUGUAGCGGUGAAAUGCGCAGAUAUCAGGAGGAACACCAGUGGCGAAGGCAGGUCUCUGGGCAGUUACUGACGCUGAGGAGCGAAAGCAUGGGUAGCGAACAGGAUUAGAUA